CUCAGGACGAACGCUGGCGGCGUGCUUAACACAUGCAAGUCGAACGGAAAGGCCCCUUCGGGGGUACUCGAGUGGCGAACGGGUGAGUAACACGUGGGUGAUCUGCCCCAAACUUCGGGAUAAGCCUGGGAAACUGGGUCUAAUACCGGAUAUGACCUUCUCCUGCAUGGGGGUUGGUGGAAAGCUUUUGCGGUUUGGGAUGGGCCCGCGGCCUAUCAGCUUGUUGGUGGGGUAAUGGCCUACCAAGGCGACGACGGGUAGCCGACCUGAGAGGGUGAUCGGCCACACUGGGACUGAGACACGGCCCAGACUCCUACGGGAGGCAGCAGUGGGGAAUAUUGCACAAUGGGCGGAAGCCUGAUGCAGCGACGCCGCGUGAGGGAUGACGGCCUUCGGGUUGUAAACCUCUUUCACCAGGGACGAAGCGCAAGUGACGGUACCUGGAGAAGAAGCACCGGCCAACUACGUGCCAGCAGCCGCGGUAAUACGUAGGGUGCGAGCGUUGUCCGGAAUUACUGGGCGUAAAGAGCUCGUAGGCGGUUUGUCGCGUCGUCUGUGAAAUUCUGCAGCUUAACUGCAGGCGUGCAGGCGAUACGGGCAGACUUGAGUACUACAGGGGAGACUGGAAUUCCUGGUGUAGCGGUGAAAUGCGCAGAUAUCAGGAGGAACACCGGUGGCGAAGGCGGGUCUCUGGGUAGUAACUGACGCUGAGGAGCGAAAGCGUGGGUAGCGAACAGGAUUAGAUACCCUGGUAGUCCACGCCGUAAACGGUGGGUACUAGGUGUGGGUUCCUUUUCACGGGAUCCGUGCCGUAGCUAACGCA
Molecule: ribosomal RNA, 823 nt
Filed under: Gordonia sp. MOLA 1531
Lineage: Bacteria; Bacillati; Actinomycetota; Actinomycetes; Mycobacteriales; Gordoniaceae
Also listed under: 1 other name
Description: bacterial SSU rRNA
Rfam family: Bacterial small subunit ribosomal RNA
Source: RNAcentral